This 676-nucleotide ribosomal RNA is filed under the name uncultured Bacteroidota bacterium. RNAcentral describes it as "bacterial SSU rRNA". It matches the Rfam family "Bacterial small subunit ribosomal RNA", at positions 119 to 793 of the family's 1533-position model. Lineage: Bacteria; Pseudomonadati; Bacteroidota. The record is from RNAcentral.
AUUUUCCCUGCCCAUAACUUGCGGAUAACCUUGCGAAAGUAAGACUAAUACCCAAUGAUAUCUCUAGAAGACAUCUGAAGGAGAUUAAAGAUUUAUCGGUGAUGGAUGGGGAUGCGUCUGAUUAGCUUGUUGGCGGGGUAACGGCCCACCAAGGCGACGAUCAGUAGGGGUUCUGAGAGGAAGGUCCCCCACAUUGGAACUGAGACACGGUCCAAACUCCUACGGGAGGCAGCAGUGAGGAAUAUUGGUCAAUGGGCGAGAGCCUGAACCAGCCAAGUAGCGUGCAGGAUGACGGCCCUAUGGGUUGUAAACUGCUUUUAUAAGGGAAUAAAGUGAGUCUCGUGAGACUUUUUGCAUGUACCUUAUGAAUAAGGACCGGCUAAUUCCGUGCCAGCAGCCGCGGUAAUACGGAAGGUCCGGGCGUUAUCCGGAUUUAUUGGGUUUAAAGGGAGCGUAGGCCGGAGAUUAAGCGUGUUGUGAAAUGUAGAUGCUCAACAUCUGCACUGCAGCGCGAACUGGUUUCCUUGAGUACGCACAAAGUGGGCGGAAUUCGUGGUGUAGCGGUGAAAUGCUUAGAUAUCACGAAGAACUCCGAUUGCGAAGGCAGCUCACUGGAGCGCAACUGACGCUGAAGCUCGAAAGUGCGGGUAUCGAACAGGAUUAGAUACCCUGGUAG